This is a small nucleolar RNA of Saccharomycodes ludwigii, 95 nucleotides long. The record is from RefSeq and is a predicted model, not a curated record. Lineage: Eukaryota; Fungi; Ascomycota; Saccharomycetes; Saccharomycodales; Saccharomycodaceae.
UUCAGAUGAUGAAAAACUUUUUUACAUUCAGUUCUGCUUCUGAACCAAAUUUUACAGGAAGAAAACUUUUAUUACCAAAGCUCAAUAUCUGAAAU